GUUGGCUUAGAAGCAGCCAUCAUUUAAAGAGUGCGUAAUAGCUCACUAGUCGAGUGACACUGCGCCGAAAAUGUACCGGGGCUAAACAUAUUACCGAAGCUGUGGAUUGUCCUUUGGACAAUGGUAGGAGAGCGUUCUAAGGGCGUUGAAGCAUGAUCGUAAGGACAUGUGGAGCGCUUAGAAGUGAGAAUGCCGGUGUGAGUAGCGAAAGACGGGUGAGAAUCCCGUCCACCGAUUGACUAAGGUUUCCAGAGGAAGGCUCGUCCGCUCUGGGUUAGUCGGGUCCUAAGCUGAGGCCGACAGGCGUAGGCGAUGGAUAACAGGUUGAUAUUCCUGUACCACCUAUAAUCGUUUUA
This 356-nucleotide ribosomal RNA is filed under the name Staphylococcus aureus. RNAcentral describes it as "partial 23S ribosomal RNA". It matches the Rfam family "Bacterial large subunit ribosomal RNA", at positions 1100 to 1461 of the family's 2925-position model. Lineage: Bacteria; Bacillati; Bacillota; Bacilli; Caryophanales; Staphylococcaceae. The record is from RNAcentral.